AUUGAACGCUGGCGGCAUGCUUUACACAUGCAAGUCGAACGGCAGCGCGGGCUUCGGCCUGGCGGCGAGUGGCGAACGGGUGAGUAAUGCAUCGGAACGUGCCCAGUAGUGGGGGAUAGCGCGGCGAAAGCCGGAUUAAUACCGCAUACGACCUGAGGGUGAAAGCGGGGGACCGAAAGGCCUCGCGCCAUUGGAGCGGCCGAUGUCGGAUUAGCUAGUUGGUGGGGUAAAGGCUUACCAAGGCGACGAUCCGUAGCUGGUCUGAGAGGACGACCAGCCACACUGGGACUGAGACACGGCCCAGACUCCUACGGGAGGCAGCAGUGGGGAAUUUUGGACAAUGGGGGCAACCCUGAUCCAGCCAUGCCGCGUGCGGGAAGAAGGCCUUCGGGUUGUAAACCGCUUUUGUUCGGGAAGAAAUCCUCUGGGCUAAUACCCCGGGGGGAUGACGGUACCGGAAGAAUAAGCACCGGCUAACUACGUG
Molecule: ribosomal RNA, 484 nt
Filed under: uncultured bacterium
Lineage: Bacteria
Description: partial 16S ribosomal RNA
Rfam family: Bacterial small subunit ribosomal RNA
Source: RNAcentral